RNAcentral lists this long non-coding RNA (13325 nucleotides) under Physcomitrium patens. Its description in RNAcentral is "long non-coding RNA (PPAT_LNC006972)". The stretch from base 1804 to 1875 matches the Rfam family "tRNA". Lineage: Eukaryota; Viridiplantae; Streptophyta; Bryopsida; Funariales; Funariaceae. The record is from RNAcentral.
UAGCAAGAGUAACCGGUAGACGGAUUCGUCCUUAUCAAUUAAAAUGAACAUUCUAGAUCAUGAAGUUCACCACCGAGGUGAACGCGUACGAGUACGAGCUAAAAAUGAUACAAUUCGCUAUGAGAGAAUGGCCUUUACUGGAGAACUGCAUGAGAACAUUCUGCGUUUCUUAGCCUCCGCCCCCUCCUCCACCACCACCGCCGCCGCCGCCAUUGCUUCCACCACCACCACCACCUCCGCCACCACCACCUCCGCCACCUGCAAGCCCGCGACCACGCCCGCGCCAGUUGCCACGUCCAUGACCAAACUUGAAUCCAUCACCUAAUCAUGCCUGAGUCUUCUUAGCAUUUUCCGAGGUCAUCUGCAGAUUCGAACUAGUGGCUUCAAUCAAGAUCUUAAUAGCAGUUUGACAUUUGCAAGCUGCUUAUCCACAAAAUAUUCAAUUGUUCAAACUCAGGAAGAUGAGACGUUCCGAGAGAACUUCUAACAGUAGUGUAUUCUACCGUGCUAACAUUCACUUCAGUUAUUAAACCGUACACGUUCACAGCUCAUUCUAUGCAACAGAAAGUAUGUCGAAAGACAUGGCAAUGGCUGCAGUUGAAGAGUAGAUCUCACCAAACAUUUGUUGACAUCAACGUUUCUCGCAAGUAUAGGCUGCGCAAAGCAAUGACAAACGAGCAAAACCGCAAUAAGGAGCACGAAGAGGGCUCGUAGGCAUCUGAAGUAAGCCAUUGUUAUAGAAGAUUGCAAUUAAAGAUCAUCCGAAAGCUCUAUAUAUACAGCCAAAUAGCUGGUUCCUGACAAUGGACUCCGCAGAAUAGUGUGACAGCAACAUUGAACAAUCAACUGAAAUCGCUCUCAUACCAGGCUUAGUACUUUCACCUCGCACUACAUCUAUUUACAACCUUGUCAAGAAAGACAUAAAAGCGGGCUCAGUUGAACAUUCACCGUUACUCGUCAGCUGCCAAUCGACGUAGAGGAAAUCCUCAUAUCACCAAGUGCACUCCCUGCAUACGUAGCGAAUCUCCCCCACCUUGGUAAGAAAAAUCUAACAAACCAUACUCACAGUCUGAGCAUAUCGGAUCGCACAUAGUGUGUAAUAAUUACAACUUUUGUGGAACAUAGUGUGUAAUAAUUACAACUUUUGUGGAACAUAGUGUGUAAUAAUUACAACUUUUGUGGAACAUAGUGUGUAAUAAUUACAACUUCCUUGAAAUGUGGCCUCUGUAAUCUUGUGAUUAACAUCAUACAUAUAUAACCUCGAUAAUCUUGACAUCUUCAUCACAAAAUGUGACAAGACAUUAGCGACCUGACAAUGGAAUCUGAAAGACAGAGUGCCAGACACUCAAUAAUCUUCAAUGUGUGACAGCCAUGCGCCGAAACAGUCUUCAAGAGCCACUUCAAAACUCAUUUCAUUUAGUAAUACUUCUUAAACGUCUAAAUCUCUGUUCCCAACUCAGACCAUGAUCGGAUUGACGAAAGCGAGUGAUGUGAUGCGUACCAGAGCGCAUGCAGAGCAGCGACAUAAACGCGAAUAGCGAGAGACAUCCAACGAGUGCACAAUGUACGCACACCACAAGGUGCAGGGGCAGAAGCAGAAGCACAGGGACUGAAAAGUGAUCGAUCACCGGGUGCGACGAAGAGGCCAAGGCGAUGGGAAGCUGGACGAUGAGCAGCAUCUAGUCAGCGAUGGGGACCAUCGACCCAUUCCGACGAGAUUCCGAUGUCAUUCGCGUGUCGCGAGAUUCCAGAGAGUAGUGUUUUGGAUCUAUAUUUUUAAAAUUUUCGGAGAUCUCCAUCAGGGGAUCCGUGGCGCAAUGGUAGCGCGUCUGACUCCAGAUCAGAAGGUUGCGUGUUCGAUUCACGUCGGGUUCAACUGCCCGGGAAUGCACCGGAUUCUCACCUAUCCAAAAAUUCCCUGAUCCUUUUUCUCUUUGUCUUAUUUCCUCCACCACCUGCAUGCAUCCAUCACCAUGUCAUCCUCAUUUUCGUUACCACCACCAGCGGAGUUAAUUCCAUCAAACACCUCUCCCCCAACACUUUCUCUCUUACUUUCUCUCUUCCCUUCCACCUCCGUGUAUGCGCCUUCGUGUAUGUGCUUAAAACAUAAGAAAGAGUAGUUAGUUCAAAGAUUAAUAAAUAGAAACUAAUUUAAACCUUAAAAAAUAUAAACUAAUUCAAAGCUUAUCAACCAAUAGAUGUUUCACACUUUAACAAGUAAAAAGUGGCCCAAAACUUAACAUGCACUAUAUAGUUCAAAGCCUAACAAAUAAUAAGUAAAAAGUGGCCCAAAACUUAACAUGCACUAUAUAGUUCAAAGCCUAACAAAUAAUAAGUAAAAAGUGGCCCAAAACUUAACAUGCACUAUAUAGUUCAAAGCCUAACAAAUAAUAAGUAAAAAGUGGCCCAAAACUUAACAUGCACUAUAUAGUUCAAAGCCUAACAAAUAAUAAGUAAAAAGUGGCCCAAAACUUAACAUGCACUAUAUAGUUCAAAGCCUAACAAAUAAUAAGUAAAAAGUGGCCCAAAACUUAACAUGCACUAUAUAGUUCAAAGCCUAACAAAUAAUAAGUAAAAAGUGGCCCAAAACUUAACAUGCACUAUAUAGUUCAAAGCCUAACAAAUAAUAAGUAAAAAGUCGCCCAAAACUUAACAUGCACUAUAUAGUUCAAAGCCUAACAAAUAAUAAGUAAAAAGUGGCCCAAAACUUAACAUGCACUAUAUAGUUCAAAGCCUAACAAAUAAUAAGUAAAAAGUCGCCCAAAACUUAACAUGCACUAUAUAGUUCAAAGCCUAACAAAUAAUAAGUAAAAAGUGGCCCAAAACUUAACAUGCACUAUAUAGUUCAAAGCCUAACAAAUAAAAGAUGGCUCAAUUCCUAACAAAAAUAGGCAAGUCAAAGCCUCACAAAUAAAACCUUGUUUGAAAGCUAAAUAAUGCAUUAGUUGUUUAAAGUUUAACAUAGAAUAAUUGGCUUAAAACUUAACAAUGAGUAGGUGGUUCAAAGUUUUACAAAGAAUAAGUGGGUGCAAGUAUAUUACUAAAUAUUAUGAUGAUUUUUUUUAAUAAAUUUAUAUGAAAGUAUGUAUAAUAUAUUUAAAAUUAUUUUCUUUUGAUUUUAUUGGUAAUUAAUAAUUUUAAAAGUAUAAUAAAUAUAGGUAAAUUUUAAAGAUUAUUUUUUAAAAUUUUAAAAUUUUAGAACUUCUUUUUUUAUAAGAUAUCUUCUAUUAAUAUUAACAUUUUUAUGUAUUUAUUUUGUUAUACUUAGAAUGUUAAUUGCAUUUGAUCAGCUAUAUUAUUGUAUUUAUAAAUAUACACUAAUAUUCUUAUAAAUGUUUUAAACUUUGGCUUUAAAAAAAGCUAUUUUUUUAUAAUUGUGCAUCAAAAUCUUUGUUGCAAUUUGGUUAUCCAUUAAUAAUUAGAAUAUUGGCAUUAUGAUUUUUCAACCUCUAUUUCUAUCAUAAAAAAUAUCAAUAAAUAAAGAAAUAUAUAUAUAUAUAUAUAUAUAUAUAUAUAUAUAUAUAUAUAUAAAAUUAUACAACCAGUUUUUUUUAUAAUUUUUAUUUGUUGCAAAGACUAUAAUAUUUUUUGAUUAAGUAAUGAUAAUUUUUUAUUUAAUUUUUUUUAAAGCUUUGAAAUUCUCAAAAUAUAUUAAAAUAUAUUCUGUUUAGUUUUUAAUAAAAAUACAUAUAUUAGAUGUGUUAAAAAAAGCUUCUACUCUUAUUUUGACUAAUUGAAUAUAUAAUAAUUAUGUUUUUUAAAUAAAAUAUGUAGUAAAAUUAAACCUUAAUAUAAUAGAAUUACUAAAAAUAUAUCUUAAAUUUUAAAAAUACUAUUACCUUAUGUUUAGUUUUAAAAUAAUAUCAUAAAUAUCCUUGAAGUUUGCUGACAUAUCAAGAAUAUUCUUUUAUUUUUAAUAAUAUCAAAUCUACUCUUUAUUUUUGUAAUAAUUGAAAAUUUUCUCUUCAAUGUGAUAAGCCAUAUUCUUUAUGUUUAUUUCAGUUGCAAUUAAGGCCCAAAGUGCAUACUGCACAAACUUGAGCUCUGUCUUUUUUUGCAUUUUGGACACCUCACAAAACUCACAUCUACCUUUGGACGUUUUUGAAGACAUUGCAUCUUAAAGAUGAGUGGUACUAUUUUCAAGACUAUCAAUGGCUUGAAGUAAAGAGUAUCAACAAUCAAUUUCCUUAUUUUGAUAGGAUUUCUAUAAUAGUAGAGAGGUGCAUUUUUUCUUCACUUGACAAUUAUUUAUUUGUAUUCCAUCUGAUAGGCAUCUGCUUGUAUGUGAAUUAAUUGAAAAAAGAUUGAAACAUUUUUUUAAGCAACCUUUUAUAAUUCUCAAGGAAUGCAUUCAAAAUACCUAGAAUUACCAAUUAUAUCUUAUUAAUAAAAAGAUGAUGGAUUCUUAAGAUAUCUAAUUGAUUGAAAUUGAUUUUUUUUUUCAUCAAUGUAAGUAUUGCAAUGAUGCAAUUUACUUGAGGUACUCUUCAUGUUUAUGCAUGCAAUCACAAUCAUUCAAAUUUAAAUCACUUUAAUAUUUUUUUUAUUAUCACUUUUAAAAAUAAACCUAAUUAUUUCCUCUCUUUUCAAAAGCAUUAUAAAUUAGCAACUACUAGAUUUGGCUUUUACACUAAAAAAAAAACUAGAAGACUAUUAUGAUCACAAAUGGAAUGAUCAAGUGUCUUUGUCAAAUUCUUCUAUUUUUCAUUAUUCAAAAAUAAAAAAAAAAUCAAUCUAAAAAAACCUCCAAGUCAUGAUGUUACUAAGCAAAUAUGGAAGUUGUAAAGAAAAUUAAUAUAAGAAUUUUAGUUGAUCUAGAAGGAGACACAACAUGUGCAAUAUGAAUGAUAUGAAUAUGAUUCUAUUUGACUUGAUUAUUUCUUAGAAAGCUAUUGCCAUGUUUCAUGUUGAUGUGAUAUAUAUGAUUCUUGAAGAUGGCAAAGACUGUUUCAAAAUAAACGAUAUCAACUAAGUUUUGGAAGGAUACAUGAACUUAUAAUCAAUUUUUUAUUUGGUAAUGGUAGACAACUUGUUUUGAGUUGUCUAUGUGGAUAGCUACAAAUGUCCUUUGGAAUAUCCGUUAGUGGCACUUCUUUCAAUGCAUACUUAGAAUUAAGAUUUGUAUUGGCUAACUCUAAAAUAUUAUAUAGCAGUACCAAAUUUUUGGUACCACUCAUCAUGUCAAUAUAUAUUUUAGCUAGUCAACUUGCUUAAUAACAAUUUCAUAAAAAUACAAGUUAUUGAUAAAAAAUUAAAGAUUCUUUGUAUGUUACAAAAGCCAAGAUGUGAUAGAAAAUUGUGAGUUGUAUUUUCAUUAAUUAGCAUCUUAUAUAACAAGUGUCUAUUGUAUUAAUAUUUAUCUUACUUGCGAUUUGAUUUAAAUAUGUACAAUAUGAAAAAUUAAAAAUAUUAUUUUGAAUGACUCAAUAAUUUAGCCUAAAUUAUUAAUGAUAAACCUUUUUACAAAUUUCAUAUGGCAUCUUUUUGAAGUAAUCAAUCAUAAAAGAAACAAUUCAAAAUUCAAUGCUUUUCUAUAUGAGACGCAAAAAAGUAUUUAAUGAGACAUUAAUGGAGAUUAUCUUAUUUGCUAAAAAGCAAUAGCUAGUAAUGACAACAAAUCUUAAGGAAUAGAGGAACAGAGAAUUGUUUGACAAGCACAAAAAUAUAGGUGGUAACAAUGGCAUUUGUGAGGUACUAAAGAUGUAAAAAAAAUUAGGGCCUAAAUCUAUGUGGCACAUGCAUUGAGCACUAGUUGCAACUAAAAAAACCAAAAGAAUAUAGCUUAUUAUAUUGAAGGAAAAAUUUACAAUUAUUACAAGAAAAAAGAAUAGAUUUGAUAUUAUCAAGAAUAUAAGAAUAUUCUUGAUAUUUUUGCAAAUCUAAAGAAUAUUUAUGAUAUUUUUCUUUUCAUUUGUGAUAUAUGAAGUAAUAAGUCAAAUCUAUAUAAUUAGAGUAUAUAUUCUUAUUCUAUAAUAUAUUAAAUUUUAAAAAAUAUAUUUUUUAUAACAAUAUUGAAUAAAGAAAAUGACUUAAAUUAGAGCAUAUUAAUUGUAUUUAUAAUACUAUAAAAUCCUACAAAUAUAAUAGUAUAUACAAAAUAUUAUCAAAAUAUCAUUUAAAUAAAAAUAUGUUUUUAUAAAUUUAGUAGUAUAUAUAGAAAUGUGAUCUAAAAAACCUAUUACUUUUAGAGCAAGCUAACUAUGUGAUGUACACAUUAAAAGUUAUCUUGCAAAUUAAGAUAUUUAACUUGCAAAAUCAACACAUGUUAGCGGUCUUAUAUAAUAUCACUAUGUAGCUCCUUUGUGGAUAGUAUUUUGAAGUAAGAAUGAAGCUUUCUUUACUCUUUUCAAUUCCUUGCUCUAGUUUUGAUUCAAGAGUCUUUAAUUUUUUUAUCUUUUGGAAAUAGCUAUUCUAGUUUUUUUUUUUUUAAUAUACAUGUUUUUUUACUUCUAUUUUGUCAUAUUUCUUUGAAAAAAAAUUUACGUAGUUAUUUUUUUUCAUUGGGUUCUUAUUCUUAACAAUAUACUAUUCUCGUCACUUGAUAAUCAUUCAUUUAUAAUCUAUUUGAUAGAUAUCUGCUUGUAUUUGAAUUAAUUGAAAAAAGAUUGUAACUUUUUGUUAAGCAAUCUUUGAUAGUUUACAAGGAUUCCAUUCAAAAAGCCUAAAAAUCACCAAUUAUAUCUUAUUCAUAAAAGAUAAUGGAUUUCAAAAAUAGCUUACUAAUUGGAUGCAAUUUUUUUGUCAUCAAUGUAAGUAUUAUAAUGAUGCAAGUUCUUUGAGUUACUCUUCAUGUUCAUUCCUUCAAUCAUAAUCAUUCAAAUUUAAAUCACUUUAAUAUUCUUCUACUAGUAUCUUUAAAAAUAAACCUAAUUAUUAUUAUUUUUUUCAAAAGUAUUAUAAAUAAAUAUGAUUCUAUUAGAUAUAAACAUCAUCCUACUCGAUAUAAACAUGAUCUACUAGAUAUAGACUUGAUUACUUCAUUGGAAGCUAUUGCCAUAUUUUACAUUACUGUGGUAUACAUAAUUCUUGAAAAAGGCAUAGAAUUUGAUUAAGAAUAUACCAUAUCCUUCAAGGAAUGGAUGGUUUGUUAAUCAAAUAUUGCUUCUCUCAUCUUUGAAGGAAGAUAUGAUUUACUUGAUAAAGCAAUUGAUAGUCCUUAUUGCUUUAUUAGUUUAUAUGUAAUUACAAAAUAAAAAGAAGAUAAUAAUAUAUUUCAACAAGCUUAAUGGCAAUUCAAAACCUCAGUUGUCAUGAAAUAGUCUAAUUUUUUGUGAUCUGUAUAUAUAGUUAUAAGUUUUCUAGUGCCUUUCAACAAGUGACACUAUUCUUGGAAAAAAUCUACAAUCACAAAAAUUUCUUUAUUAUAAAUCUUAUAAGUGAUCUUUAUAACUGAAAACUUUUUAGAAUAGAAUGCAAUUGAAUGGAGCUUUCCAUCCUUUCAUAUUUAUAAUAGUAUAGCUUCUAAUCCAAAGGCACAAGCAUCUAUCUCUAAAUAGAAGGCCUUUGUGAAACAUGGAUGUAUUAAAAUUAGAGCUAUAGUAAAAGCCUCCUUUGAAUCUUGAAAAAUCAUUUAUUUUUGAAGUUUUCAUUCCAAUUUGUCUUUUGAUGUCAAUUAAGUAAAAUGAGCAACAACUUUGGAAUAAUUCUUGAUAAAUAUUUAAUAAAAAUUAAUAAAUCUAAGAAAAUAUUACAUAUUCUAUAUUUUCUUUAAAUUUUAUAACUUUGUUAUAACUUGAACUUUCUUUGAGUCCAUCAACAUACCUUCAUUUGAUAAAAUACAUCCAAAAAAUUCUACUUUUAGCUGAUGGAAUAUAUAUUUUUCUAAUUUAGCAUGUAAUUUUAUAUCUUACAACUUAAAUAAGAUUAAUCUCAUAUAUUCUUUAUAUUCUUAAAUAAUCUUGGAUUAAAUUAUGAUAUCAUCAAAAUAGUAGAUAAUAAAUUUAUUGAAGAAUUCUUAAAAAAUAUCAUUUAUUAAAUACUAAAAUAUAGCUAGAGCAUUUUUUAAUCCAAAAGACAUGAAAUUAUAUUCAAAAUGUUUAUAUCUUGUUCACAAUACUAUCUUCUAUUCAUCUCUUUCUUUAAUCCAUACUAAAUGUAUAUUUCACAAAGAUCUAUUUUAGUGUAGAUCUUAGCUUGAUUAAGUUUCUUCAAAAGUUCUAAUAUUAAUAGAAAUGAGUAAUAAUUCUUCAUAAUUAUUUUUCUGAGGUUGCAAUAAUCAACACACAUUUGCAAAGAUUCAUUUUUUCUCUUCACAAAAAUAUUUGUACAUCUAUUGGAGAUUAAAAAUAUCACAUAAAAUUCUUUACAAGAUUUUUGUUGAUAUAAUCCUUCAAUGUCAAAAGCUUAUUUUGUGAUAGGUUGUAAAUUGGGCCAAGUAGUGGUUUAGUUCCUUCUUAAAGAUCAACAACACAAUCAUACUAUUGAUGCUUUAGUAAUAUGUCAACAUUCUUUUUUUAAAAGACAUUUUAAAAAUAUUCAUAUUAUUCUAAGAUAGCUACUAGCAAGCUUGCUUUUUCACAAGUUGGAGUUGCAUAAAUAACAAAUGGUACUUUUUUUUAAUAAUCUUCAUAAAUAUCUUUAUUUCUUAAAAUAAGGACGUUGUUGUUGAUAACUUCUUCAUAGGUUUUAUUCAAAGAAAUUCUAUAAGAAAUUCAAUCUUAUGAAAUCUCCAAUCUAUAGAUGGAUUAUAUCUUUUUAACCACAAAAGUUCUAAAAUGAUAGGAUUAGAUGAGAAUCUAAUAAUAUUGAAUAUUAUUUUGCUACUAUGGCUCUCAAAUGAUAUUUCUAAUAAUAUGAUCUUAUAAGUAACAUUACCUAAAGAUAAAAAUUGACCAUCUAUUACCUCUACAUGUAUAAAUUUUGACUUUUGUACUAGAGAAAUUUUAUGAAGUUUAAAAUAUUCUUCAUCUAAAAAGCAAGCAAAUGCUCUUGAAUCUAUUAAGGCAUUUUUUUAAAGUUUUUGUGGGUCAAGAAAUAAAGAUAUAAUAAAGUAAUGAGUAGGUUAGGCAAAGAAAGAAAAACCUUGAUGAAUUUGAAGAAUUGAAAUGUCUAGCCACACGAUCCCUAUUGUAGCUGAGUCUCUUUAUUUUUUUUGAAUGAUUGCUCUCUUAUCCUUGGUUAUAAGUUGUUUCUUUACAAAAUUCUUAAAUUUUUCGCCCUCUUCAUUAUAAUACAAAUAUAAACCUUGUUCAAAUUAAUAGACUUCGCUAUAAAAGAUUUAAAUCAUAUUGCAUCAUUUUGCAUAUCUUUAUUUUCAGAGUAUAGAAAUAAUAUAUUUUUAAAGAAAGACAAUACAAAUUUCUAGUACAUUGCUUUAUCCCAGUCUAUAAGUAUUGAUCUUGAUAACAUUGAAAUAAUUAAUUAUCAUACAUUACAGCUUGAUUCAUAGCUUCAUUAAGUCUUUGAGGAUGAAUUUGUAAUAAUUAUAAUAGGUCUUUUACAUCAUUUCUUAAUUUUCAAUAGAAUUGGCUUAUAAGAGCUUGUUUAUUUUAAUAAGUGAUAUAAGCCAAUUUUCUAAAAUCACAUGCAUAAAUUGAUGCAAAGCAUGACCUUGUUACUCAUUGGACCUUGUUAUGUUUUCCAAAUGUCUUUGUAAGUGCUUCCAAGAAAGCUUCAAAGUUACUUAAGAUUAGAGAUAUUUUCUCUAAUAAAGAAACAAACCAAGAUAAGGAUUGUCUUAUGAGUAAGGUUCCAACUAAACUAACUUUUGACUCUUCUAUUAGAUAGUGCUUAGGUUGUAGAAAAGUUACAAAUUGAAUUUGAUUAAUAAACCCUUAAAAAUUGGAGUGUGCACCAUCAAACUUUUUGAAAGACUAAUCCAAGGUUUUUUAUGUUGUUGAGUAGGUGAAUUUUUUUAUUAAGGUAGAGGUACCAUCACUUCUUUAGAUGUAGAAGCUUGAAAAAGUAUUUAUAUCAUAGGUUGAACUAUUAUAGGUCUUACAUCAUUAUAAAAUCUUGUAAAAAUCCUUCAAUUUCAGUAGUUCUACAAGAUAAAGCCUUUAGUAUAUUCAUAUUAAUAUCUAACUUAGACUCAAAAGAUUCAACUAUACUAACAUCUUUACUUUCAGCCAUUCCAAAAAUUAAAAAUUAAAAUUCUAAGUAAUAUUAGUUUAAAAGAAGAUGCUUUGUAACCUCUAAAAUACUUAGAUGCAUUCAAAAAGAGGGAUAAUUUACUCUCAAUAAAAAAAUAUCAAGCUUCAAUAUUGAUAAAAGGGCAAUGUUGGAAUAGAGAGAAUUUGCCUUAAAAAAUAGUAGGCUUCUAACUAUCACUAAUUUCUCAAUCAAAUCUUAAGAUAAAAUAAACACCAAGUUUAUAUAUAAAAUUAUCCUUAUAGAGACAAUUACAUUAAUUUAUAAGUCUUAAGUACCAAAGAUCAUUCAAAAUGUGAUAAAAAUAUUAUAAAAUCUUAUAUAUCCUUAAUAUAAAAGGAAAGAAUAGGAUAUUUAGAUUAUUUGUGUAUAGAAAUAUGUAGGUGGAGUCAUUUUUGGAAAUUUUUUAGAAUUGAAGUUAAGAUGGUAGUUUAUGUGGGAUCUACUAUGGUACCUUCUAAAAAGACUUAAAGUGGUUAUUAUGGUUAGGUCCACCUCUAAAAUCUUCUAAAAAGGCAGUUAUUUUGGUAGAGCCUAUCAUUAGGGACAUUCUAGAAAGUUCUAGGAUAGUUGAACAAAGUAUAAAUAAGACUAACUAAGGCUAUUUAGGCAUUUAGUCAAGUAUGGCUUUAGACUCUUUUUCUAAGUAAAAUUUGAUUUUCUUGUUCCAUUGUAUUUGUUUCUAAUUGAUUUUUUUUCUUCUAUUCAAUUUUCUCUUUUUACUUAUUAUUUGUUAGGCUUUGAACUAUAUAGUGCAUGUUAAGUUUUGGGCCACUUUUUACUUAUUAUUUGUUAGGCUUUGAACUAUAUAGUGCAUGUUAAGUUUUGGGCCACUUUUUACUUAUUAUUUGUUAGGCUUUGAACUAUAUAGUGCAUGUUAAGUUUUGGGCCACUUUUUACUUAUUAUUUGUUAGGCUUUGAACUAUAUAGUGCAUGUUAAGUUUUGGGCCACUUUUUACUUAUUAUUUGUUAGGCUUUGAACUAUAUAGUGCAUGUUAAGUUUUGGGCCACUUUUUACUUGUUAAAGUGUGAAACAUCUAUUGGUUGAUAAGCUUUGAAUUAGUUUAUAUUUUUUAAGGUUUAAAUUAGUUUCUAUUUAUUAAUCUUUGAACUAACUACUCUUUCUUAUGUUUUAAGCACAUACACGAAGGCGCAUACACGGAGGUGGAAGGGAAGAGAGAAAGUAAGAGAGAAAGUGUUGGGGGAGAGGUGUUUGAUGGAAUUAACUCCGCUGGUGGUGGUAACGAAAAUGAGGAUGACAUGGUGAUGGAUGCAUGCAGGUGGUGGAGGAAAUAAGACAAAGAGAAAAAGGAUCAGGGAAUUUUUGGAUAGGUGAGAAUCCGGUGCAUUCCCGGGCAGUUGAACCCGACGUGAAUCGAACACGCAACCUUCUGAUCUGGAGUCAGACGCGCUACCAUUGCGCCACGGAUCCCCUGAUGGAGAUCUCCGAAAAUUUUAAAAAUAUAGAUCCAAAACACUACUCUCUGGAAUCUCGCGACACGCGAAUGACAUCGGAAUCUCGUCGGAAUGGGUCGAUGGUCCCCAUCGCUGACUAGAUGCUGCUCAUCGUCCAGCUUCCCAUCGCCUUGGCCUCUUCGUCGCACCCGGUGAUCGAUCACUUUUCAGUCCCUGUGCUUCUGCUUCUGCCCCUGCACCUUGUGGUGUGCGUACAUUGUGCACUCGUUGGAUGUCUCUCGCUAUUCGCGUUUAUGUCGCUGCUCUGCAUGCGCUCUGGUACGCAUCACAUCACUCGCUUUCGUCAAUCCGAUCAUGGUCUGAGUUGGGAACAGAGAUUUAGACGUUUAAGAAGUAUUACUAAAUGAAAUGAGUUUUGAAGUGGCUCUUGAAGACUGUUUCGGCGCAUGGCUGUCACACAUUGAAGAUUAUUGAGUGUCUGGCACUCUGUCUUUCAGAUUCCAUUGUCAGGUCGCUAAUGUCUUGUCACAUUUUGUGAUGAAGAUGUCAAGAUUAUCGAGGUUAUAUAUGUAUGAUGUUAAUCACAAGAUUACAGAGGCCACAUUUCAAGGAAGUUGUAAUUAUUACACACUAUGUUCCACAAAAGUUGUAAUUAUUACACACUAUGUUCCACAAAAGUUGUAAUUAUUACACACUAUGUUCCACAAAAGUUGUAAUUAUUACACACUAUGUGCGAUCCGAUAUGCUCAGACUGUGAGUAUGGUUUGUUAGAUUUUUCUUACCAAGGUGGGGGAGAUUCGCUACGUAUGCAGGGAGUGCACUUGGUGAUAUGAGGAUUUCCUCUACGUCGAUUGGCAGCUGACGAGUAACGGUGAAUGUUCAACUGAGCCCGCUUUUAUGUCUUUCUUGACAAGGUUGUAAAUAGAUGUAGUGCGAGGUGAAAGUACUAAGCCUGGUAUGAGAGCGAUUUCAGUUGAUUGUUCAAUGUUGCUGUCACACUAUUCUGCGGAGUCCAUUGUCAGGAACCAGCUAUUUGGCUGUAUAUAUAGAGCUUUCGGAUGAUCUUUAAUUGCAAUCUUCUAUAACAAUGGCUUACUUCAGAUGCCUACGAGCCCUCUUCGUGCUCCUUAUUGCGGUUUUGCUCGUUUGUCAUUGCUUUGCGCAGCCUAUACUUGCGAGAAACGUUGAUGUCAACAAAUGUUUGGUGAGAUCUACUCUUCAACUGCAGCCAUUGCCAUGUCUUUCGACAUACUUUCUGUUGCAUAGAAUGAGCUGUGAACGUGUACGGUUUAAUAACUGAAGUGAAUGUUAGCACGGUAGAAUACACUACUGUUAGAAGUUCUCUCGGAACGUCUCAUCUUCCUGAGUUUGAACAAUUGAAUAUUUUGUGGAUAAGCAGCUUGCAAAUGUCAAACUGCUAUUAAGAUCUUGAUUGAAGCCACUAGUUCGAAUCUGCAGAUGACCUCGGAAAAUGCUAAGAAGACUCAGGCAUGAUUAGGUGAUGGAUUCAAGUUUGGUCAUGGACGUGGCAACUGGCGCGGGCGUGGUCGCGGGCUUGCAGGUGGCGGAGGUGGUGGUGGCGGAGGUGGUGGUGGUGGUGGAAGCAAUGGCGGCGGCGGCGGUGGUGGUGGAGGAGGGGGCGGAGGCUAAGAAACGCAGAAUGUUCUCAUGCAGUUCUCCAGUAAAGGCCAUUCUCUCAUAGCGAAUUGUAUCAUUUUUAGCUCGUACUCGUACGCGUUCACCUCGGUGGUGAACUUCAUGAUCUAGAAUGUUCAUUUUAAUUGAUAAGGACGAAUCCGUCUACCGGUUACUCUUGCUAA